This 464-nucleotide ribosomal RNA is filed under the name Vreelandella stevensii. RNAcentral's name for it is "partial 16S ribosomal RNA". It matches the Rfam family "Bacterial small subunit ribosomal RNA", at positions 338 to 795 of the family's 1533-position model. Lineage: Bacteria; Pseudomonadati; Pseudomonadota; Gammaproteobacteria; Oceanospirillales; Halomonadaceae. The record is from RNAcentral.
CCUACGGGGGCUGCAGUGGGGAAUAUUGGACAAUGGGCGAAAGCCUGAUCCAGCCAUGCCGCGUGUGUGAAGAAGGCCUUCGGGUUGUAAAGCACUUUCAGUGGGGAAGAAAGCCUUGGGGCUAAUACCCUCGAGGAAGGACAUCACCCACAGAAGAAGCACCGGCUAACUCCGUGCCAGCAGCCGCGGUAAUACGGAGGGUGCGAGCGUUAAUCGGAAUUACUGGGCGUAAAGCGCGCGUAGGCGGUCUGAUAAGCCGGUUGUGAAAGCCCCGGGCUCAACCUGGGAACGGCAUCCGGAACUGUCAGGCUAGAGUGCAGGAGAGGAAGGUAGAAUUCCCGGUGUAGCGGUGAAAUGCGUAGAGAUCGGGAGGAAUACCAGUGGCGAAGGCGGCCUUCUGGACUGACACUGACGCUGAGGUGCGAAAGCGUGGGUAGCAAACAGGAUUAGAUCCCCCAGUAGUC